Molecule: ribosomal RNA, 468 nt
Filed under: uncultured bacterium
Lineage: Bacteria
Description: partial 16S ribosomal RNA
Rfam family: Bacterial small subunit ribosomal RNA
Source: RNAcentral
GACGAACGCUGGCGGCGUGCUUAACACAUGCAAGUCGAACGGAAAGGCCCUGCUUUUGUGGGGUUCUCGAGUGGCGAACGGGUGAGUAACACGUGAGUAACCUGCCCUUGACUUUGGGAUAACUUCAGGAAACUGGGGCUAAUACCGGAUAGGAGCUCCUGCUGCAUGUUGGUGGUUGGAAAGUUUCGGCGGUUGGGGAUGGACUCGCGGCUUAUCAGCUUGUUGGUGGGGUAGUUGCUUACCAAGGCUUUGACGGGUAGCCGGCCUGAGAGGGUGACCGGCCACAUGGGGACUGAGGUACGGACCAGAAUCCUACGGGAGGCAGCAGGGGGGAAUAUUGCACAAUGGGCGGAAGCCUGAGGCAGCAACGCUGGGUGCGGGAUGACGGGUUACGGGUUGUAAACCGCUUUCGAAUGUGACGAAGCGUGAGUGACGGUAAUGGGUAAAGAAGCAACGGCUAACUACGUG